GCUCAACCGAGGAAGUGCUUUGAAAACUGGUAAACUUGAGUGCAGAAGAGGAAAGUGGAACUCCAUGUGUAGCGGUGGAAUGCGUAGAUAUAUGGAAGAACACCAGUGGCGAAGGCGGCUUUCUGGUCUGUAACUGACGCUGAGAUUCGAAAGCAUGGGUAGCAAACAGGAUUAGAUACCCUGGUAGUCCAUGCCGUAAACGAUGAGUGCUAAGUGUUGGAGGGUUUCCGCCCUUCAGUGCCGGAGCUAACGCAUUAAGCACUCCGCCUGGGGAGUACGACCGCAAGGUUGAAACUCAAAGGAAUUGACGGGGGCCCGCACAAGCGGUGGAGCAUGUGGUUUAAUUCGAAGCUACGCGAAGAACCUUACCAGGUCUUGACAUCUUGCGCCAACCCUAGAGAUAGGGCGUUUCCUUCGGGAACGCAAUGACAGGUGGUGCAUGGUCGUCGUCAGCUCGUGUCGUGAGAUGUUGGGUUAAGUCCCGCAACGAGCGCAACCCUUGUUACUAGUUGCCAGCAUUAAGUUGGGCACUCUAGUGAGACUGCCGGUGACAAACCGGAGGAAGGUGGGGACGACGUCAGAUCAUCAUGCCCCUUAUGACCUGGGCUACACACGUGCUACAAUGGACGGUACAACG
RNAcentral lists this ribosomal RNA (637 nucleotides) under uncultured bacterium. RNAcentral describes it as "bacterial SSU rRNA". It matches the Rfam family "Bacterial small subunit ribosomal RNA", at positions 607 to 1244 of the family's 1533-position model. The record is from RNAcentral.